GCAAUCGACCAUAGGGUGAAGGAAAGCAGGGCUUCCCGUCCGCUCAGCCAUACUUAAACCUCACGCCGGUGGCUCAGUAGUUGUAUCGGUGACGAGCAGCGAAGCUCCACUGUUGAUUGUU
This is a ribosomal RNA of Exophiala spinifera, 121 nucleotides long. Lineage: Eukaryota; Fungi; Ascomycota; Eurotiomycetes; Chaetothyriales; Herpotrichiellaceae. The record is from Rfam.